RNAcentral lists this signal recognition particle RNA (263 nucleotides) under Chloroflexota bacterium. Its description in RNAcentral is "Chloroflexi bacterium (cold seep metagenome) signal recognition particle sRNA large type". It matches the Rfam family "Bacterial large signal recognition particle RNA". Rfam says of the family: The signal recognition particle (SRP) is a universally conserved ribonucleoprotein involved in the co-translational targeting of proteins to membranes. Archaeal SRP consists of a 7S RNA and homologues of the eukaryotic SRP19 and SRP54 proteins. The record is from RNAcentral. Lineage: Bacteria; Bacillati; Chloroflexota.
UCGUGCUAGGCGGGGAGCUAGCGGUGCCCUGUAUCCGCAAUCCGCUAUAGCGGGGCUGAAUUCCUGCUCGAGGUCUGCUGCCUCUGGGACUGCUUGUGUUAAGUGGUGUUGAAGACUGGGUCCUGUGCAGCAGAACACUGUGAACCCCGUCAGGUCCGGAAGGAAGCAGCGGUAAAUAGUAGCUUCUGGGUGCCGCAGGGUUGCCUGGUUGGAGCUGGCUGACAGGGGCAAGCCAGAAAGCGGGAUCGACAGCAGGUGCACGA